UCUCCGUAGGUGAACCUGCGGAGGGAUCAUUACUGAGUGAGGGUCUCCGGGCCCGACCUCCAACCCUUUGUGAAUCGUACUCGUUGCUUCGGGGGCGACCCUGCCGUCCGCGGCUGAGCGCCCCCGGGGUCAAUCAAACACUGCAUUCUCUGCGUCGGAGUAUUAGUAAAUCUACUCAACACUUACCACAACGGAUCUCUUGGUUCUGGCAUCGAUGAAGAACGCAGC
This 228-nucleotide unclassified non-coding RNA is filed under the name uncultured fungus. RNAcentral describes it as "sequence contains ITS1, 5.8S rRNA gene". The stretch from base 180 to 228 matches the Rfam family "5.8S ribosomal RNA", at positions 1 to 49 of the family's 154-position model. Lineage: Eukaryota; Fungi. The record is from RNAcentral.